UAAAAUGGUAAUUCUAUAAAUCGAGGGUAAAACGGUAAUUCUGUAAAUCGAGAGUACUUUGGUAAUUUUACAAAUUAAGGUCAUUUUAGUAAUUUGGUAAACUAAAGUAUUCUAAAUAGGGAUAACAAUACGAAUGGGCCUAAAGCCUAUUCUCGGCCUAAAUGGACCCACACGUUCGUGUAGCCCUUUUAGCCCAAAUCUAACCACAAAUAUGAGAUUCACCUAGCC
RNAcentral lists this long non-coding RNA (228 nucleotides) under Gossypium barbadense (sea-island cotton). RNAcentral describes it as "long non-coding RNA (GBAR_LNC003152)". The record is from RNAcentral. Lineage: Eukaryota; Viridiplantae; Streptophyta; Magnoliopsida; Malvales; Malvaceae.